This 439-nucleotide ribosomal RNA is filed under the name uncultured bacterium. RNAcentral's name for it is "bacterial SSU rRNA". It matches the Rfam family "Bacterial small subunit ribosomal RNA", at positions 28 to 480 of the family's 1533-position model. The record is from RNAcentral.
GACGAACGCUGGCGGCGCGCCUAACACAUGCAAGUCGAACGAGAGAGAGGGAGCUUGCUUCCUCAAUCGAGUGGCGAACGGGUGAGUAACGCGUGAGGAACCUGCCUCAAAGAGGGGGACAACAGUUGGAAACGACUGCUAAUACCGCAUAAGCCCACAGGUCGGCAUCGACCAGAGGGAAAAGGAGCAAUCCGCUUUGAGAUGGCCUCGCGUCCGAUUAGCUAGUUGGUGAGGUAAUGGCCCACCAAGGCAACGAUCGGUAGCCGGACUGAGAGGUUGAACGGCCACAUUGGGACUGAGACACGGCCCAGACUCCUACGGGAGGCAGCAGUGGGGAAUAUUGCACAAUGGGGGAAACCCUGAUGCAGCGACGCCGCGUGGAGGAAGAAGGUCUUCGGAUUGUAAACUCCUGUUGUUGAGGAAGAUAAUGACGGUACUC